CCUACGGGUGGCAGCAGUGGGGAAUAUUGGGCAAUGGAGGCAACUCUGACCCAGCAACGCCGCGUGAAUGAUGAAUGUCCUCUGAUUUUAAAGCUCUUUUCUAAGGGAAGAAGAAAGUGACGGUACCUUAGGAAUAAGCCUCGCCUAACUACGUGCCAGCAGCCGCGGCAAUACGUAGGAGGCAAGCGUUAUCCGGAAUGAAUGGGCGUAAAGGGUGCGUUGGUGGUUUGACAAGUUAGUAGCGAAACUCCGGGGCUCAACUUUGGCACGGCCACUAAAACUGGUGGACUUGAGUGCAGGAGGGGUAAGCGGAAUUCGUAGUGUAGCGGUGGAAUGCGUAGAUAUUAGGAGGAACACCAGUGGCGAAGGCGGAAUGCUAGACUGUAACUGACACUGAGGCACGAAAGCGUGGGGAGCAAACAGGAUUAGAUACCCUAGUAGUC
This 443-nucleotide ribosomal RNA is filed under the name uncultured bacterium. RNAcentral's name for it is "partial 16S ribosomal RNA". It matches the Rfam family "Bacterial small subunit ribosomal RNA", at positions 338 to 795 of the family's 1533-position model. The record is from RNAcentral.